UACCCGCUGAAUUUAAGCAUAUAAGUAAGCGGAGGACAAGAAACUAAACAGGAUCCCCUCUGUUGUGGCGAAUGAACAGGGGCCAGCUCACGGUGAAAAUUGGGGCCUGCUAGGCCUUGAGUUGUAGUCUGUAGCUGCGAUGCCAAUGGAGGCGCACUUGUGAGCCCCUUGGAAGAGAGCAUCGACGAGGGUGAGAGUCCCAUCUGUCAUUUGCAGACCUCUGUGCACGGCACGCCUCCGAGGAGUCGCGUUCUUCGGACGUGGAACGUGAAUUGGGUGGUUGAUUUCAUCUCAAGCUAAAUAUUGAUUCAAGACUGAUAGAAGACAAGUACCGUGAGGGAAAGGUGAAAAGGACUUUGGAAAGAGAGUUUAAAGUGCCUGAAAUUGCUGGAAAGGAAACAAAUGUAACCAUACCUGCUUGGCGAGAUUGUCGUGCGCCAAGGCAUCCCCAAGAGCGUGCGGUGUUUCUUACCUUGUGCGUCCACAUUACUUCAUGGCCAGGGAAACCUCUGAGCGCAUUGUGUGCCUUCCUCCAAGGAGUGCGAAUGCGCUUGUGAAAUCCCUGUUUUGAGUGGCUAGCUUGCACGUCUGGUCGCAAUUUGGGCCCUGACGCUCAAGCAGCUGACGGAAUGGUUCCUUCUGACCCGUCUUGAAACACGGACCAAGGAGUCUAACGUACGUGCAAGUUUCGCGGGUGACAAAUGCCUGCUUGCGAAGUGAAAGCGAUGGCUGGGGACAUUCGUUCCAGUGGCCGGCCAACCAAUCCAUUGCGAGAGGCUUGAGCACAAGCACAUCUGUUGGGUCCCGAAAGAUGGUGAACUAUGCUUGAGAAGGCAAACUCAGGGAAACUCUGAUUGAGGCUCGUAGCGAUACUGACGUGCAAAUCGUUCGUCGGACUUGGGUAUAGGGCGAAAGACUAAUCGAACCAUCUAGUAGCUGGUUCCCUCCGAAGUUUCCCCUCAGGAUAGCUGGAGUGGCACACUUUCAUCAGUAAAGCGAAUGAUUAGAGGCAUUGGGGGAACGGUUGUGGUCUUCCGAACCCA
Molecule: ribosomal RNA, 1043 nt
Filed under: Prorocentrum emarginatum
Lineage: Eukaryota; Dinophyceae; Prorocentrales; Prorocentraceae
Description: partial 28S ribosomal RNA
Rfam family: Eukaryotic large subunit ribosomal RNA
Source: RNAcentral